This 236-nucleotide ribosomal RNA is filed under the name uncultured bacterium. RNAcentral describes it as "partial 16S ribosomal RNA". It matches the Rfam family "Bacterial small subunit ribosomal RNA", at positions 98 to 334 of the family's 1533-position model. The record is from RNAcentral.
CCGCACGGGUGAGUAACACGUAUCCAACCUGCCGUCUACUCUUGGACAGCCUUCUGAAAGGAAGAUUAAUACAAGAUGGCAUCAUGAGUUCACAUGUUCACAUGAUUAAAGGUAUUCCGGUAGACGAUGGGGAUGCGUUCCAUUAGAUAGUAGGCGGGGUAACGGCCCACCUAGUCUUCGAUGGAUAGGGGUUCUGAGAGGAAGGUCCCCCACAUUGGGACUGAGACACGGUCCAA